Molecule: RNA transcript, 1456 nt
Organism: Populus trichocarpa (black cottonwood)
Lineage: Eukaryota; Viridiplantae; Streptophyta; Magnoliopsida; Malpighiales; Salicaceae
Exons: 6
Source: RefSeq, a predicted model, not a curated record
ACUCUCAGACAUGCUGUAAUAUGUAAUGCUUUCUCAUCUGAUAGACAAUCUAUAAUGCUUUACCAUCUGAUUGUAAUUGACUUCAUUUCGAAGAAACCAUUGCUUUCUCGUCUCUUGCAGCAGAAAACUAGGAAAACCGAAUCUGCUUCAAAACAUUUUCUCAGACUGGAAAAAAACCAGUUUCAUCAGCUGAAGGGGGAAGCAGUCACAAGGAGAAGGAAAGCCAGCUCAAAAGUGCUUGAAAUGCAAUCAUAGCAACUUGGCUUGUUAAGUUGCUAGAGAAAAAACAAGGACGCACACACAAGCUAUAUAAGAGAUUCGAUAGAAGUCAUGGAUGAUUGUUCAUGGAUGUAUCGAGAUUCACCCCAAAGAUUGCGGAGGAUGGAUUAUUGUUUCAAUCACGCGGCAACUAGGUUGCGUGAUUUUUGGUAUGAAUCACAAAAAAAGGCAAAAAAAAAACACAAGAGAUAGGGGUCUCCAAGGCUGGAAUGACGUGGCGGUUUGGAGGGAUUUCAAACCGAUAUACAUCCUGAAAGAUAUAUGGCCGCACUAUCUUGAGCACGUGAUGUCUGAGCGGUUCACACGACGCUCACAGUCUGGUGCUGACAACUGGAAUCGGCCAAUUCAUGGCUCGGUGACAACGCACACCGGCGGCUCCGUUCCGUUUGCUGCACAUGCGAAACGGAUAGUAAGAUUAAUUUAAAUGAAAUAUAUUGUUAGAUUAAUUUGUUGUUAAUUAAUCUUUUUUCAUUAUAGGCUACGUCUCUUGGACGUGAGCCGAGCCUGAUAGAGCUGUUUGUGGAGACGCACGUGCGGAGUCAAGACCGCCAAAAAGGGGCACAAUAGUUCGUUGACAACCGUGCUCAACACUUCGUGGAGACCUAUAAUAGCCGGUUGAGGGAGAGAUAUGGGGACGAUCCUUUGACCCAUCCAGAAUUCGAUCCGGAUUUGUGGAUGGAGGUUGGAUCGUCUGGUGGACCCGAUAAAAAUCGAGUUUACGGGCUCUCCAAUACUACGGCCGAGAACUUGCGAGUGACCCGUAGUGUUUCAACCGUUGGGAGCUCCCAAUCAGUAUCGAGCACCCAAUCUAAGGAGUUCGUGGCCUUGCAGCAACACACGGCUCAGCUUACCGAAAAAUACGACCACCUAUCAGCGGCGUAUGCACAACUCAAAGCGGAUAAUGCACAAAAAAAAGCGGAGCAUAACCAGCUUCGCGAAUUUGUUAUGAACAUGGCAUCACAGAGUGGUGAUACAUGUGCGCCUCUUUCUUUUUGGCCGUAUAACAACCAGCCUCCUCCUCCUCCUCCAGCUCCACCAUUAUGUUAAUUUGUAAUGAAUAUUAUUUAACUUUAAUAGUUAAUUUAACAUUUUUUUUAAACACAUUCAGUUUGUAAUGAAUAUUAUUUAAUUUUAUUUCUUUUGUUUUUAAUGUUUAAUAAAAAAUUUAUUUGCAUUA